Triticum dicoccoides is the source of this 2257-nucleotide long non-coding RNA. RefSeq lists it as uncharacterized. NCBI's taxonomy places the organism in Eukaryota, Viridiplantae, Streptophyta, Magnoliopsida, Poales, Poaceae. The record is from RefSeq and is a predicted model, not a curated record. The transcript has 7 exons.
GGCCAUGGCGCUCGCAGAUCCGCCCGCCCCGUCAUCGCCGCUGCGCUCGCAGGUGAGCGGCGCCGACCUAACGGAUCUUCCUCGUCGUCAACCCGGCGUACUGGUGUGGUGGAUCCGCCUCCUCUCUGUUUCAACCAUGGUUGUGCUCUUUCAUGUGCGCGGCCCUCUCCGUGACAACUGCAGCCCAAGGUCGUCAAAUCCAUCACCGUCGCCAUUCUUCUGCUCGAGGCCUUUGCCACCAUGGAUGGAUGCGGGCAAGGCCAGCCUCCCCCUCCCCACGCAUAGGUGACUAUGGGAGUUGCAUUGACAGAGUCCAUGUAUUAAACUGGGGCAUUUUUGGCAGCUGCAGCAACCUGACAAUUAAUUCGUUCUCAUCCAAGGUUUACCGCUCGUCUUGCUAAUGUUAAUUUGUAUGUUUGUUGAUGGCUUGCUUCCCAACCACAUGUGCUCCCCACGGUGAGGAACGGACGUGCUCAACGCCUUCCUUCCCAACCAGAUAUGAGAAACAAGAAAUAGGACCAAGAAAAUUAGUUGCUCAUAUAUUCAUCUGUCUUGCGGAGAAGAACCCGAAUGGAGAACUUGGUAUGCCGAGUAAUGUGCAGGUUGCUUUUGUCCUCUCACUUGCUCUUUGGUCUUCGUCUGUUGCUCUGCUGGCUCGUCAUCUCCUUGGUUGGAGGUUGUUCUUGGUCCUGCCAUUUGUUCUUGUCAGAGCUCACUGAAAAUAUUUGUUCUCACCUAUGCUAAUGCCUUUCGGUUAAACUAGGAAUUAUUUCAUUGUUGGAAGCUUUCAUCUGCAUAUAUGCGUAAGGGGCUGUGUAUUUAUUUUGUUUCAUUCAUUUUUUGGUCUAUUUAUUUUGCACAGAAAGCCAUUUGUGGUAUGCUUUGAUGGGUCUUAUUUAAUACAAUACAGACAAAAUUGGAAGUAGUAGCAAACCAGCCAUGAAAUUUUUGAGAGAACUAUGCUAACCACAAGCAAUGAUGUACUCCUGGAUUUUGCCAUGAUAUUGUAGCCCACUUCCAAGACUCUAUGUACUAAUGUUAGCUACUUGCUUCUUUAGCUGCUCUAAUUAGGAACCAAUUAUCUGUGUGGUUUAUCGUCUUAAAAUUGUUACUAUUCACUUAGUGGGGGAGUGUAAGAAGUAGCUGAUUUUAGAGAACACUACACACCAGAGCAGGAAGCCAAAGUCAGGAAGGAGAAUGCAUGUACCCUUGAGGACUGAAGAAUGAUGUUUAAUCUUGCUUUUGUCUACGUUGCUAUUCUUGGUUCAGAUCCUUACCUUCGGUUCAGUUCCAUGUAGUCUUAUGGAUAGAUGGACAAGUUGGUGAAAACUGAAAACUACAGGAUGGAUUAAUUAAUCGGUUAAUUAAUCGCUGUUGCCCCCAAUUUUGUUUCAGCUUCAUCAACACCUUACAUUUGCUUGGUAGAAAUUUAAACUGAACACCAAAUUCAUUUAUGUUAUACUCGGGUAAUGGACUUCUUCAGAUAUACAAUUUCCUCGAGCAAAGUUUACAAUGCUUUUGUGCCACUUAUGACAUGCUUCACAAUUUUUUUGUCUUUCCUUGUGGAUCGUCCAUUUGAACAAUAUAUAUCAAUGUAAAUAACCUUACAUUUCCUUCUAUUUCAAUCGAUUUAAGGUACUCAUGUAUAAUGAUUACUAAUGACCAGCUGCAGCCACCGCCUAACCUAACAUUGUUGUAGUCAUGGCUUUUGGCAUCAGUGUAUUCCAUUUAGUUACCUUUGCCUAAUGCGCCCUGAUGAGAGGCAUUCUUUUUGCCCUGUACACAGCUUUGCGUUUUAUGAUUGUUACUAUUUCUCCCUGCAUUCUCUCCUUUGCAUUGUCUGACUAUUACAUGAUUAAUAGAUGAACAAUCCUAUAUCCGCAAUGUAAGGCAAGGGACAAGCUCCUGUGACUAAAUACCUAGUUGUUGAAAGAUUGAAAGCGUAAGCAAGUUCGCCAAAUUCCUUCGGUACUUUCAAAGAAAUCAAUGUCCCAUCUGUUUAUGGAAAACUCUAAGAAGGCUCGAUUGGCACAUGAAGCUCUUAAAUACUUGAGAGCCUUUUACAACAAGGUCCUAUAAGACUACAUACAUAUAUUACACCGGUUGUCCCAGCUCAUAGUUGGUUGUCAACAGUCCGGUUGGUUGAACAAGGUCCUAUAAGACUACAUACAUAUAUUGCUACAGAUAUGGUGUUGCCAUUUUAUUGCUACAGAUAUGGUUGUUCUGAUUGUAUACAUACAUAUAAUUCUGCAGUUUG